Molecule: ribosomal RNA, 400 nt
Filed under: uncultured bacterium
Lineage: Bacteria
Description: bacterial SSU rRNA
Rfam family: Bacterial small subunit ribosomal RNA
Source: RNAcentral
UAGGGAAUCUUCCGCAAUGGACGAAAGUCUGACGGAGCAACGCCGCGUGAGUGAAGAAGGCCUUCGGGUCGUAAAACGCUGUUGUCAGGGAAGAACAAGUGCCAAAGUAACUGUUGGCACCAUGACGGUACCUGACGAGAAAGCCACGGCUAACUACGUGCCAGCAGCCGCGGUAAUACGUAGGUGGCAAGCGUUGUCCGGAAUUAUUGGGCGUAAAGCGCGCGCAGGCGGCAUCUUAAGUCUGAUGUGAAAGCCCACGGCUCAACCGUGGAGGGUCAUUGGAAACUGGGAAGCUUGAGUGCAGAAGAGGAGAGUGGAAUUCCACGUGUAGCGGUGAAAUGCGUAGAGAUGUGGAGGAACACCAGUGGCGAAGGCGACUCUCUGGUCUGUAACUGACGCU